This 24-nucleotide non-coding RNA is filed under the name Arabidopsis thaliana (thale cress). Lineage: Eukaryota; Viridiplantae; Streptophyta; Magnoliopsida; Brassicales; Brassicaceae. The record is from RNAcentral.
UGGAUGCUGAAAUGUGACUGAUGC